Molecule: ribosomal RNA, 497 nt
Filed under: uncultured bacterium
Lineage: Bacteria
Description: partial 16S ribosomal RNA
Rfam family: Bacterial small subunit ribosomal RNA
Source: RNAcentral
GAUGAACGCUGGCGGCGUGCCUAAUACAUGCAAGUCGAGCGAACGGACGAGAAGCUUGCUUUUCUGAUGUUAGCGGCGGACGGGUGAGUAACACGUGUAUAACCUACCUAUAAGACUGGUAUCACUUCGGGAAACCGGAGCUAAUACCGGAUAAUAUUUUGAACCGCAUGGUUCAAAAGUGAAAGACGGUCUUGCUGUCACUUAUAGAUGGUUCCGCGCUGCAUUAGCUAGUUGGUAAGGUAACGGCUUACCAAGGCAACGAUGCAUAGCCGACCUGAGAGGGUGAUCGGCCACACUGGAACUGAGACACGGUCCAGACUCCUAAGGGAGGCAGCAGUAGGGAAUCUUCCGCAAUGGGCGAAAGCCUGACGGAGCAACGCCGCGUGAGUGAUGAAGGUCUUCGGAUCGUAAAACUCUGUUAUUAGGGAAGAACAUAUGUGUAAGUAAAUGUGCACAUCUUGACGGUACCUAAUCAGAAAGCCACGGCUAACUACGUG